GCCGCUGGCCCACCAAACUCUUUUUCUGUUUAGGGACUCUCUGAGAAAACAAGCAAAUAAGUUAAAACUUUCAACAACGGAUCUCUUGGCUCUGGCAUCGAUGAAGAACGCAGCGAAAUGCGAUAAGUAAUGUGAAUUGCAGAAUUCAGUGAAUCAUCGAAUCUUUGAACGCACAUUGCGCCCGCCAGUAUUCUGGCGGGCAUGCCUGUCCGAGCGUCAUUUCAACCCUCAAGCCCUGCUUGGUGUUGGGGUCCGCGCGGCUCUGCCGCANGCCCUGAAAGCUAGUGGCGGGCUCGCUACAACUCCGAGCGCAGNAGUGUAUCUCGCUGAGGAGGCGNGG
This 340-nucleotide unclassified non-coding RNA is filed under the name Sordariomycetidae sp. TU27. Its description in RNAcentral is "sequence contains ITS1, 5.8S rRNA gene, ITS2 and 28S rRNA gene". The stretch from base 66 to 219 matches the Rfam family "5.8S ribosomal RNA". Lineage: Eukaryota; Fungi; Ascomycota; Sordariomycetes. The record is from RNAcentral.